UACGAGGGGGGCGAGCGUUGUUCGGAAUUACUGGGCGUAAAGGGCUCGUAGGCGGCCAACUAAGUCAGACGUGAAAUCCCUCGGCUUAACCGGGGAACUGCAUCUGAUACUGGAUGGCUUGAGUUCGGGAGAGGGAUGCGGAAUUCCAGGUGUAGCGGUGAAAUGCGUAGAUAUCUGGAGGAACACCGGUGGCGAAGGCGGCAUCCUGGACCGACACUGACGCUGAGGAGCGAAAGCCAGGGGAGCAAACGGG
RNAcentral lists this ribosomal RNA (253 nucleotides) under uncultured bacterium. Its description in RNAcentral is "partial 16S ribosomal RNA". It matches the Rfam family "Bacterial small subunit ribosomal RNA", at positions 524 to 776 of the family's 1533-position model. The record is from RNAcentral.